AUGCAUCCUUACGAAUAUAAGAGUGUUUUUUUGGGUAUAGCAGGACUUGAACCUGCGACCAUUAGGUUACAAUAUGGUAUAGAUAAUCCAGAAGAAGUCUGCAUAAAAGUCUUUGCCCAAAAGGAUAAUCCUAGAAUUCCGUCUGUCUUCUGGAUUUGGAGAAGUGCCGAUUUUUAAGAAUGCGAAUCUUAUGAUAUGACGGGAAUCUCUUAUGAUAAUCAUCCGCGCCUUAAACGUAUCCUAAUACCUGAAAGUUGGAUAGGGUGUUUCAGUCUCUGUACUCGUCCCUAG
This 291-nucleotide ribosomal RNA is filed under the name Triticum aestivum (bread wheat). RNAcentral's name for it is "partial small subunit ribosomal RNA". Lineage: Eukaryota; Viridiplantae; Streptophyta; Magnoliopsida; Poales; Poaceae. The record is from RNAcentral.